RNAcentral lists this unclassified non-coding RNA (1025 nucleotides) under uncultured Prochlorococcus sp. Its description in RNAcentral is "partial contains 16S ribosomal RNA, 16S-23S ribosomal RNA intergenic spacer, tRNA-Ile, tRNA-Ala, and 23S ribosomal RNA". The stretch from base 1 to 293 matches the Rfam family "Bacterial small subunit ribosomal RNA", at positions 1242 to 1533 of the family's 1533-position model. The record is from RNAcentral. Lineage: Bacteria; Bacillati; Cyanobacteriota; Cyanophyceae; Synechococcales; Prochlorococcaceae.
AANGGCAGCNNACUCGCGAUNCUAGCAAAUCCCAUAAACCGUGGCUCAGUUCAGAUCGUAGGCUGCAACUCGCCUACGUGAAGUAGGAAUCGCUAGUAAUCCGCAGGUCAGCAUACUGCGGUGAAUACGUUCCCGGGCCUUGUACACACCGCCCGUCACACCAUGGAAGUUGGCCAUGCCCGAAGUCGUUACUCCAACCCUUGUGGAGGAGGACGCCGAAGGUGGGGCUAAUGACUGGGGUGAAGUCGUAACAAGGUAGCCGUACCGGAAGGUGCGGCUGGAUCACCUCCUAACAGGGAGACAACAAAAUGUUUAAUAUUAUUAUUUUGUCACCUUAGGUCGAUCGGUAUCUCACGUUUUUAAUUUAUUAAGAAUUUCAUUUCCUAAGUUUUUCUAGGUCACACCCAUUAUUUUUCCUGGGCCAUUAGCUCAGGUGGUUAGAGCGCACCCCUGAUAAGGGUGAGGUCCCUGGUUCAAGUCCAGGAUGGCCCAUAUCUCUAUGUUGGGGGUAUAGCUCAGUUGGUAGAGCGCCUGCUUUGCAAGCAGGAUGUCAGCGGUUCGAGUCCGCUUACCUCCACUGAUCACCACCUCUUCCAUAAUCGGUAGAAAGGAAAUUUUUUGAGUUGUGAUCAAAUUCUGAAAGAAUCUAGCUUCCUAAUGAAAUCAUUAAGAUGCUGGACUCAUUGAAUUAAUUUCAUUGUUUUCAGAGAACCUUGACAACUGCAUAGAUUAUUUUUAAAGACAAUAAGCAUCUUUAGUGAUGCAGAUUUAUUAUUUGUGCAAAUGCAUUAAUAACAAUUCUAUUAAGCUGAUGCUUCAAUAUUUGAAGUCAUUGGUCAAGCUACAAAGGGCUCACGGAGGAUACCUAGGCACACAGAGGCGAUGAAGGACGUGGUUACCUGCGAUAAGUCUCGGGGAGUUGGAAGCACACUUUGAUCCGGGAAUUUCCGAAUGGGGCAACCCCAUGUACGGCCAACUGAAUAUAUAGGUUGGUGCGAGCUAACCCAGCGAACUGAAACAUCUUA